Molecule: ribosomal RNA, 2900 nt
Filed under: Clostridioides difficile
Lineage: Bacteria; Bacillati; Bacillota; Clostridia; Peptostreptococcales; Peptostreptococcaceae
Description: 23S ribosomal RNA
Rfam family: Bacterial large subunit ribosomal RNA
Source: RNAcentral
UGGUCAAGUUAUUAAGGGUGCAGGGCGGAUGCCUUGGCACUAGGAGCCGAUGAAGGACGUGAUAAGCUGCGAUAAGCUUCGGGGAGUUGCACGUAAACUUUGAUCCGAAGAUUUCCGAAUGAGGAAACUCACUUAGAGUAAUGUCUAAGUAUCAUUAAGUGAAUACAUAGCUUAAUGAGGGGAACUCAGGGAACUGAAACAUCUAAGUACCUGAAGGAAGAGAAAGAAAUUCGAUUCCGUAAGUAGCGGCGAGCGAACGCGGAUUAGCCCAAACCAAUAAAGUUUUCUUUAUUGGGGUUGCGGACAUAUCAUAACGAAGAGGUAUCGUAAUUGAAGAGGUUUGGAAAGACCCACCACAGAAGGUAAUAGUCCUGUAUGUUAAACGAGAAGACUUUAGAUAUGAUCCAGAGUACCACGGGACACGUGAAACCCUGUGGGAAGCAGGAGGGACCACCCUCCAAGGCUAAAUACUACCUAGUGACCGAUAGCGUAUAGUACCGUGAGGGAAAGGUGAAAAGAACCCCGGGAGGGGAGUGAAAUAGAACCUGAAACCCUGCACUUACAAGCUGUGGAAGCACAUUUCUUGUGUGACCGCGUACUUUUUGUAGAACGGGCCAACGAGUUACGUUAAGUAGCAAGGUUAAGCACUUAAGGUGCGGAGCCGUAGCGAAAGCGAGUUUUAACUGAGCGUUCAGUUACUUGACGUAGACCCGAAACCGGGCGACCUACCCAUGAGCAGGAUGAAGCGAAAGUAAAAUUUCGUGGAGGUCCGAACCCACGAGCGUUGAAAAGCUCGGGGAUGACUUGUGGGUAGCGGUGAAAUUCCAAUCGAGCCCGGAGAUAGCUGGUUCUCCCCGAAAUAGCUUUAGGGCUAGCCUCAAGGUGAGAGAUACGGAGGUAGAGCACUGAAUGUCCUAGGGGGUAUUGCACCUACCGAAGACUAUCAAACUCCGAAUGCCGUCAUCUUAUACUUGGGAGUCAGACUGUGGGUGAUAAGAUUCAUAGUCGAAAGGGCAACAGCCCAGAUCGUCAGCUAAGGUCCCUAAAUGUAAGUUAAGUGGUAAAGGAUGUGGGAUUGCACAGACAACCAGGAUGUUGGCUUAGAAGCAGCCACUCAUUCAAAGAGUGCGUAAUAGCUCACUGGUCGAGUGAUCCUGCGCCGAAGAUUUCCGGGGCUAAAACUUACUACCGAAGCUACGGCAUCAGUAAUGAUGGGUAGGGGAGCUUCCCAUACGGGUUGAAGCAUGACCGUAAGGACAUGUGGACAGUAUGGGAGUGAGAAUGUUGGCAUGAGUAGCGAGAUGUGGGUGAGAAUCCCACAGGCCGUAAACCCAAGGUUUCCAGGGGAAGGUUCGUCCGCCCUGGGUUAGUCGGGACCUAAGCUGAGGCCGAAAGGCGUAGGUGAUGGACAACAGGUUGAUAUUCCUGUACUACCGAUAACCGUUUGAGAGAAGGGAUGACACAGUAGGAUAAGCUAAGCACACUGUUGGUUAUGUGUGCCCAAGCAUUGAGGCAGUCAAAGUAGGCAAAUCCGCUUUGAUAAUGCUGGGAUGUGAUGGGGAGCGAAAUUUAGUAGCGAAGUAGCUGAUUUCACACUGUCAAGAAAAGUCUCUAUCGAGGUUAAAGGUACCCGUACCGCAAACCGACACAGGUGGGUGAGGAGAGUAUCCUAAGGCCAGCGAGAGAACUGUUGUUAAGGAACUCGGCAAAAUGACCCCGUAACUUAGGGAUAAGGGGUGCCACCAUCAGGUGGCCGCAGAGAAUAGGCCCAAGCGACUGUUUACCAAAAACAUAGGUUUCUGCUAAGUCGCAAGACGAUGUAUAGGAGCUGACGCCUGCCCGGUGCUGGAAGGUUAAGGGGAUCUGUUAGAGCAAUCGAAGCAGUGAACUUAAGCCCCAGUAAACGGCGGCCGUAACUAUAACGGUCCUAAGGUAGCGAAAUUCCUUGUCGGGUAAGUUCCGACCCGCACGAAAGGCGUAACGAUUUGGGCACUGUCUCAACAACAGACUCGGUGAAAUUGUAAUUCCGGUGAAGAUGCCGGAUACCUGCGACAGGACGGAAAGACCCCAUGGAGCUUUACUGUAGCUUGACAUUGGGUCUUGGUACUACAUGUACAGGAUAGGUGGGAGGCUUUGAAACCAGGACGCCAGUUUUGGCGGAGCCAUCCUUGGGAUACCACCCUUGUAGUACUGGGACUCUAACCAUAGGCCAUGAAUCUGGUCUUGGGACACUGUCAGGUGGGCAGUUUGACUGGGGCGGUCGCCUCCCAAAAGGUAACGGAGGCGCUCAAAGGUUCUCUCAGUACGGUCGGAAAUCGUACGUAGAGUGUAAAGGCAAAAGAGAGCUUGAUUGCAAGACAUACAGGUCGAGCAAGGAUGAAAAUCGGACUUAGUGAUCCGGUGGUUCUGCGUGGAAGGGCCAUCGCUCAACGGAUAAAAGCUACCCUGGGGAUAACAGGCUUAUCUCCCCCAAGAGUCCACAUCGACGGGGAGGUUUGGCACCUCGAUGUCGGCUCAUCACAUCCUGGGGCUGUAGUAGGUCCCAAGGGUUGGGCUGUUCGCCCAUUAAAGUGGUACGCGAGCUGGGUUCAGAACGUCGUGAGACAGUUCGGUCCCUAUCCGUCGCAGGCGUAGGAAAUUUGAGAAGACCUGUCCUUAGUACGAGAGGACCGGGAUGGACGUACCUCUGGUGUACCAGUUGUUCUGCCAAGGGCAUGGCUGGGUAGCUAUGUACGGAAUGGAUAAGCGCUGAAAGCAUCUAAGCGCGAAGCCAACUUCAAGAUAAGAUUUCCCACCGUAAGGGUAAGACCCCAGAAAGACUAUCUGGUUGAUAGGUCGAAGGUGUAAGUGCAGCAAUGUAUUUAGCUUAUCGAUACUAAUAGGUCGAGGACUUGACCAAU